Molecule: long non-coding RNA, 1895 nt
Filed under: Homo sapiens (human)
Lineage: Eukaryota; Metazoa; Chordata; Mammalia; Primates; Hominidae
Description: HSALNT0279731
Source: RNAcentral
UCUAGUUGGAAAAAGUGGUGUUUAUACAACCAAUAAGGAAUCAAAGUCUAUAAGGUCAGUAAGAGGGGUCAUGAACAGACACCAUGGGAGUGGAGAGGAGCGAGAGAUGAAUUCUGAUUUAGGGAAAUUAAGAGACAUUUUAGGAGGAGCUUGUCCUAAUUAAGGCUCUAAAGUCAGAUAAAAAAUUUACAUAAUAAAAAAUAAACCAGAGACUCCUCAAACUGGAGGUGGCGGAAACAAAGAGCAGCACAGAAAAGCGAGUCCCCGCACUAAGACAGAAGAGUGAAGACUGGGUGGCCAGCAUGGUGGAGCUGAGGUUGAAGUCUUCAGAGUGUUCCUGUUUCCUUUCGCCUUUGAAAUGGCAGUGUCUGGGAUAGAUGGUGUCCGACUUGCUAUGCCAAAUGGGGUACAGAGACAUGGCACCAUCUGCAGACCAGGAAGGAGGAAGGAGGCCCUCAGUAGACACCAGAUCUGCCAGCAUCUUCAUCUUCCCAGGCUCCAGAACUUUGGGAAGUAACAUUUGUUGCUCAAGCCACCCAGCUUAAGGCAUUUUAUUAUAGGAUCCUGAACUAAGACACCAUGAAUGUGACCUUCUAUAGCAUUAGGGUCUUUGUAGAUGUAAUUAAGCUAAAAGUCUUGAGAUGAGGAUGUCAUCCUGGAUUAUUUGGGCAAACCUACCUCUAAUGCUAUAACCAAAUGCCAUAAACUGGGUGGCUUAAAUAAAAUAUGCACGAAGGGCAAGAGAGACAGAAGAAGAGGAGGUGAUGUGAGCAUGGAGGUAGAUGUUGGAGUGAUGUGGCCACAAGACAGAACAUCAAAAGGCACCAGAAGCCAGAAGCAAAGAAUGGAUUCACUCUUUGAGUUUCCAGAGAAGGUGUGUUGCUGCUCACACCUUCAUUUUGGGCUUCUGGCUUCCAGAAGUUUGAGAGAACAAAUUCUUGCUAUCUUAAAAUUUUUUUUUUUUUUUCAUUUCCAUAGGUUUUGGGGGAACAGGUGGUAUCUGGUUACAUAAAUUCUUUAGUGGUGAUUUGUGAGAUUUUGGUUCACCCAUCACCAGAGCAAUCCACUGAAUCCAAUUUGUAAUCUUUUAUCCCUCACCCCCAUCCUGCCCUUUCCAACAAGUUCCCAAUGUCCAUUGUAUCAUUCUUAUGCCUUUGCAUCUUCAUAGCUUAGCUCCUACUUAUGAAUGAGAACAUAUGAUGUUCAGUUUUCCACUCCUGAGUGACUUCAUUUAGAAUAAUAGUCUCCAUUCCCACCUAGGUUGCUGCAAAUGCCAUUAAUUUAUUCAUUUUUAUGGCUGAGUAGUAUUCCAUGGUGUGUGUGUGUGUGUGUGUGUGUGUGUGUGUGUGUGUACAUAUAUAUCAUAGUUCCUUUACCAACCUGUUGAUUGAUGGCAUUUGGGAUUAUUCCACAAUCCACCCAGAUUAUAGUAAUUUGUUACAACAGCCACAGAAAAAUAACACAAGAGGUGUAUGCAUAUUUUAGGUUUUGUGGUUGUCAUUCAUUUUAAUGACUGGAACAGACAAUUGGUCAAAAUCAAUUUUAGUAAUGUGAUUGCCUUCCUAGAGUGUCAUUGAGCUGGAUGUUGGAGAACUAAUUAUAAUUUCUGUUCCACAAUGACUGUUUUUACAUUAUGUUUAGCCAUGAUUUACUACAGGAAUUUUAUUCAUUUUAUUUCUCCAUGGCAGCGUCACACUUCCCUAAUAAAUGUGACACCUUUUGCAUGGUGACUAUGUGGUAUUAAUGAAGCCAGUCUCCUCCUUACUCACCUGAUGUAUAAAUCUAAUGUUAAUCAAAUGCCUGUUAUUAGCCCAGCAUUGGAACAGUCAUCAGCAAUGAAGCAAUGAGAAAACCCAACGGGCUCCUGGGUUGAUUGAGGUAAUCUUUCAGUAGAA